GAUUCCCUACGGGGCGCAGCAGGCGCGAAAACUUUACAAUGCGGGAAACCGUGAUAAGGGGACACCGAGUGCUAGCAUCAUAUGCUGGCUGUCCAGGUGUGUAAAAUACACCUGUUAGCAAGGGCCGGGCAAGACCGGUGCCAGCCGCCGCGGUAACACCGGCGGCCCGAGUGGUGAUCGUGAUUAUUGGGUCUAAAGGGUCCGUAGCCGGUUUGGUCAGUCCUCCGGGAAAUCUGACAGCUCAACUGUUAGGCUUUCGGGGGAUACUGCCAGACUUGGAACCGGGGGAGGUAAGAGGUACUACAGGGGUAGGAGUGAAAUCUUGUAAUCCCUGUGGGACCACCUGUGGCGAAGGCGUCUUACCAGAACGGGUUCGACGGUGAGGGACGAAAGCUGGGGGCACGAACCGGAUUAGAUACCCGGGUAGUCCCAGCCGUAAACGAUGCUCGCUAGGUGUCAGGCAUGGCGCGACCGUGUCUGGUGCCGCAGGGAAGCCGUGAAGCGAGCCACCUGGGAAGUACGGCCGCAAGGCUGAAACUUAAAGGAAUUGGCGGGGGAGCACAACAACGGGUGGAGCCUGCGGUUUAAUUGGACUCAACGCCGGACAACUCACCGGGGACGACAGCAAUAUGUAGGCCAGGCUGAAGACCUUGCCUGAAUCGCUGAGAG
RNAcentral lists this ribosomal RNA (669 nucleotides) under uncultured archaeon. RNAcentral describes it as "bacterial SSU rRNA". It matches the Rfam family "Archaeal small subunit ribosomal RNA", at positions 317 to 986 of the family's 1478-position model. The record is from RNAcentral.